CCUACGGGGUGCUGCAGUGAGGAAUAUUGGUCAAUGGGCGGAAGCCUGAACCAGCCAAGUCGCGUGAGGGAAUAAGGCCCUACGGGUCGUAAACCUCUUUUGCCGGGGAGCAAGGGCGGGGACGUGUCCCGGCCCGGAGAGUACCCGGAGAAAAAGCAUCGCCUAACUCCGUGCCAGCAGCCGAGGUAAUACGGAGGAUGCGAGCGUUAUCCGGAUUGAUUGGGUUUAAAGGGUGCGUAGGCGGGCUUUUAAGUCCGCGGUAAAAAUUCGGGGCUCAACCCCGUACGGUCGUUGAACCUGGGAGUCUUGAGUGGGCGAGAGGAAGGCGGAAUGCGUGGUGUAGCGGUGAAAUGCAUAGAUAUCACGCAGAACCCCGAUUGCGAAGGCAGCCUUCCGGCGCCCUACUGACGCUGAGGCACGAAAGUGCGGGGAUCGAACAGGAUUAGAUACCCGAGUAGUC
Molecule: ribosomal RNA, 460 nt
Filed under: uncultured bacterium
Lineage: Bacteria
Description: partial 16S ribosomal RNA
Rfam family: Bacterial small subunit ribosomal RNA
Source: RNAcentral